GUUAUGAAAGGGUAGUGUUGGCGCUUUAGUGAGAGUGUGUGUACCCCGCAAAUUUCUUAGACUUUUCUUAAAUAAAUAACCUCUUAAUCAGAAGAAAAGAAUUAGAAUUAUUUGACGGGUAACGACUUUAGAUUUCGCUGGCCGACGAACAUCUAAGGUUCUAUGUAAUAUAUUCCAAAGUCGAUGGUGAAAUAAUUAGGAUUCAGAACUAUUCGUCAUCUACUGUCAAAACGUCAAGAAGAACCAGGGAUAUCUACACAUUAAGAGCUAUGAAAGCGUGAUCACUAGCGUAACACUCUUCUUUCUACCAUGUACCUCCGCCCACCGUUGGUCGUCUUGCUGCUAGCAACGGCGACAUUCUUAUUACCCUCUACAAUCGCUGACAACGAAGAAGACUUUGCUUUCGAUGUCACUGAAGACUUAGAGAUUGAGUUUGAGGGAGAUAAGCUAGUUAAAUGGAACGAGAAGGAUUUGGUAGCCUAUGUUGGAAGGACUUUCCAUUUGGUCGUACCGAAAGAGAGCUUCAAAGGCGUGGUCAAAAGUUUUGAGGUGAAACGACACACAGGAAAAGGUUUACCAUCGUGGCUUCUAUUCGAUAAAAAAGGAGGUGUAUUCUGGGGCGUACCUCUGAACCAAGAUGUCGGAGUCCUCCAUCUUACAAUAAAGGCUAUUGGAGAUAAAGCUAACUCCGAAGAGAUAACAAUCAAAGUUGUAGAAACAACUGAAGAAGCCGCAGGAGUAGAAAAAUGUAAACCGAACGAGGAGAAUACGGUUUUAACGUUACUGCUAGACAAAAAUAUCAGAGCUAUCAAGCCAAAGCAAAGAGUGAUCGCUAUUAACAAUAUUGCCCAGUUUUUCGGAUUGCCGCAUAGUGCCUUUACAUUCAAACCUCAACUAGAAAAAGACGACAUUACAGAUAGUUCCGUAGUACUAGCCGGUCCUGGGAAUUUACGAUCAAGAACUUCCAAGGUAACAUCUCUUUUGCAAGUAGCUGUAGGCUGUGAUGGAAGACUGUGGCUCUCUACAGCGUCAAUAGUUCACCAAUUGAAGCAGCAAGCGAGAGACGGUACCAUUGCCGAAGUAUUACGCUUACCUCUGAUCGGCUGGAGAGUUAAGACUGAAACAAAACCUGUUGUUAGAACUAAAAGAGGAGCUGACGUUAUUGACGGUGAUUAUGGUAGUGGAGAUUAUAAUGAUGAAGACGAAUAUUACGACGACUAUGAAGAUUCUUAUGAUGGUGAAGGUCUCGGAGAUGUGGAAAAGAUGCCCCCGUCUGCUGCUGCUCCAGUUACUCUGCCAACUCCCAAAAAGACUACAACUACUACUACGACAGCAGCUAGUUCUACUGUUUCGACUGAUAUUACUACACAUCUUCACAGACAUCACCAUGGAGAACUCAACCCUAGUAUACCUAAUUUGCACCACCAGACAACCCACAAAAACUUCUAUGUAGAAGAGCCAGUUCCAGUGACAAUCCAACCGUAUGAAACCCAGUCCUCUUCGCCAACUUCUACAUCAACUGCUGGCAAAUCUGAAUUGCCUACUUUCGGCAGAACUAAGCCUAAACCGGAUGAUAUUCUUACUUAUGAAGAUAACUACGACUACGGGGAAUAUGAUGACGAAGACGAAGAUUUGGACGAUCCCAUUGAGAGUGAAACUGUUAUCCCAGAUAUAAAUAAAAAGAAGCAAACGUUUGUUCCUACUUUCGAAGAUACCGAAAGCAUUACGACUGAGGAGAGUAGGUCGAAAACUACAUCUAAAAUAGAAGCAGAGACUGAACCAUUAAGUACAUCUAGCACCACCUCAAGUACUACUACAAGUACUUCAACCACUUCAACUACCAGUACUACAACUAGCACUACAACAAGUACGACAACUACCACGACAACCCCAGCUGCUCCCACCACUAUUCCUAUUGUCUACACUACAACUGCUAGUACUACAGAUCUUCCAACAACUUUCCAGAUUGUCGUAGAAGGAGAUAUCGAGACUGACUUUACAACAGAAACUGAGAAACCUACGCCCAUAACACCAGAAAUAGCUGAGCCAACUCAGUCAUCAGAAGAGCCUACUGUAGCGAGCACAACGCAGUCUACAACAGUAGUUAUUCCUACAAAUAGCAGCUCUGAAUCGACAAUAACGUACACAACAUCGACAACACCGUUGACAUCCGUUGAGAUUCUUACGACUGAAAGCAGUUCGACUUCCAAAGAACCCUCAUCUACCCAAAAACUUACAACUCUAAGAGAAGUAGUAACGGAAGUUGAGUAUCACGAAAACUUUGAUCCUUUCAUCGAAAAUCGACUUCAACAAAUGUAUGUGAUAGCAGGAAAGAUUUUCCGAUUUGUGAUACCACAAAAUACUUUCAAAGAUUUUGAAGAUGAGUACGACCUAACGUAUCAAUUGUUGGAUUCUAAUAAUAGAACGGUGACAAACAAUAGUUGGCUACAUUUUAAUCCUUCCCGGAGGGAGGUCUAUGGAUUGCCUUUAGAAGAAGACGUGUCUAAAUGGGUGUUCUGGGUGAAAGCUUCAGACAAGGAUGGUGGAUACGUUCAAGAAAAGCUCAAUAUUCAAGUUCAACAACACAAACUAGACCUUGUCGUCAACCAUGAAUUUAGUUUAAUCAUUGGAAUUGAAAGACAUCAAGAAUUUCAGCACUACGUUGACUGGUCGCUAAAAGUACUUAGAGCAUUAGGGAAAAUAUACAACACAAAUAUGGCGGAAAUAACUGUAAGAAGAAUUAAUUAUACCACCCAGCCAGUGGUAUUUACUUGGUCAAAUGAUUCAAUAGCUACCAACUACUGUCCAAGAAGUGAGAUUGAAUCUCUAUUUCAAGUUUUAACUGCAAACAAAAUAGGUGAUCCCUCUAGGGAACUCAAUAUGGCUUUGUCGCCGGAACUGCGAGUCAAAAAAGUAAUUUCUCGGGAACUAGGUGUUUGUGAACAACCGCUCACGCCAGUCACUCCUCCAAUGAAUUUCUCACCGAUUUUACGAAAUCCAGUCGACAAAGUAAACGCCACCGUUGGAGAAUUACUGGUAUACAAAGUGAAAGAUGAUACUUUCUACGAUCCAGAAGACGUUGACCCAAGAAUGUUAAACAUAUCACUCCUCACCGGUGAUCGUCAACCGAUUCCACCAGAUAAUUGGUUACAGUUCGACAAUAAAAACAGGGAAUUCUUUGGUAUUCCGAGAAAAUCAGGAAGAAGCGAAUAUCAACUUGUUUGUGUUGACAGUGGUGGACUACCUGCGACUGAUAGCUUAGAAGUUGUGGUAUAUCCACCUGUGAAGAAAAACUUCAAUGUUGAAUUCAGUAUGAAUAUCACAGAAAUACCGCAUGAGAUUUUUAUUAAUACUGCGUCUUUACAGAAGAAAUUUGUUGAGAAACUCAUGAUUUUGUUCGAGGAGUCAACAACAAAGAACUUUUAUUUCCUUCCAUUCAAAAGAUCAUACGAUUCCACAAUUGUGACUUGGUUCAACAAAUCACUACCCCUAAACCGAUGUCCGCACGAAGAAAUCAAACGAGUAGAAUCUAUUGUACACCAAAUGAUCGAUAAACACAACAUGAUUGCUCAUAGGGUACAUUCUGUUAUGGAACCAGAAUUCAAAGUAUCUACCAUUAAAGUUUACCCAACGGGUAAUUGUAAGCAAAGAGUUGUUCAAGAGGCCAAACCAGAAGUUAGUGUACCGAUUGAGGAAAGUACACCCCAGUCCAGCAGCGAUGAUUAUCUUGUUACUUUUAUUGUACCAGCAGUCAUUGUUUUCGUAAUGCUGUUCUUGGCCACUUUGGCUGCUAUUGUGUUAUACAGAAGACGAAGAAUGGGAAAAAUGAACGUUGAAGAAGAUGGAAGACAGAGUUAUGGAAACAAAGGUAUUCCCGUAAUCUUUCAAGAAGAACUAGAAGAAAAACCUGAACCCGGUACAAAAGCUCCAGUGAUUCUCAAGGACGAAAAGCCGCCAUUAGCGCCUCCAGAAUACAGUAAAAGCGGCUCAGUCAAAUUAGCGGACGAUUCGGAACCCUACCAGCCGCCCCCACCGUUUACCCGUACUCAGGACAACGGCAGACAAUCCAGACCAAAACCCACCCCUACUUAUAGAAAACCACCCCCUUAUGUGCCUCCUUAACAAUUACACUUUACAUUUUUUCAGCAAUAAGCUUUGUCUGACUGCCAAUUCGCGCGAUUGGUUCAUAAUUAUUCGAAUAAACCUUUUAUGACUCUGCAACUAAUAAUACUUUAGAUGACUGGCCGCAUUUUAGAAUGUAAGAUAAGUCAAUAGUUCAAUGUAAAUAUUUACACAAAAGCGUUAGAAUUUGUACAAUUAUUAUAAGCUGGCCACAGAGUACGCACAAUUCUCGAUUCAUAAUGCGCGAUGCCUGAUUUAUAUCCAUUGUUCGUCGGUUCAUGUUGAUGUGUGAUGUGCAGCCUUUGAUGUUCGUUAAUUUACCGCUCACAAGAGAGAAUUACUAUGCAUACAUGAAUCAUGUUGUUUACUAAUCGAUUUUUAACUAACAAUAUAAAAUUAUUAUUUAUGACCACACUGUCGAAACUUUUUGUAUGUAUUUGUUAUUUGGGUAGAGUCGGACAAAUUUGGAGCUUGGCGCAUUAUGGUAAUGGGGCGUUUGUCUGUCAAGCUGUCACGAAGUUGUAAAUUUUAUGCAAAAAAAAUUAUAACCACAUUGGUCAUUUUAUUUUAAUCAAUGGUUUUUGUCAUAUAAAUAGCGAAAACAAUUUUGUCGGACAAAAAUAUUGGGCCAUAUGACGCGUCGGACACGAUAAAUAUGUCAAAUUUAUGAAAAUAAUAAAUUUAUUACCACAUGGCUAAUUUUAACAGAAUCUACCAUAAAACAUUUUUACAAUAAUGUGUAACCUUGUCGGACAAUUUUUACGGGGCUAUGUGCAGUCGGCUGCGCCGACGAUGUCAAUUUCCUGGUAUUUUUUUAUUUACAACCAUUUUUUCGACAAAAAUAGGAGGUUAUAAGUAAUUAUAUUCUAAAUAAAAAAAUCUAAGUGUCCGACAAAAAUAUUGGGGCAAAUCGACAGUCAGACGAAAAAUUUAAUUUUUAUUAGUAAACUAUAUUUUACUUUUAAACUAUGCUGGGUUCGUGCAUCCCUUAUCUUCACAAUCAUUUUUCCGACAAAAGUAUUAGGUUACAAGUAAUUAUAUUCUUAAACAAAAAAUGUAAUUGUCUGACAAAAAUGCUGGGGUAAACGAACAGAAAACGUAAUUCUUUUAGGUUAUCGAUGCCCUUAAUAGGAGGCAUUGUCAAAAAAAUUUUUAAAACAGUUUUUCUCGGUUACUUUUGAAUCGAUUUAGAUUAAAAUUGGUAUACACACUAAGUACAACAUUUAAAAGGGCGUGACGUAGAGUUAUACCCAAAAUUUUCCGAUAAGAGGAAAAAUUUUGGAAAUAUCUGAAUUUUAUCUGAAAAUUUGUGUACAUACAUCUUGAACAAUGACAAACAUCUUUCUGUUGUUUCUUUUCUCGAAUUUUGAAAAAAAAAUUCCGAAACAAGGGAAAAUUUCGGAAAAUUUUUUGAAAAUUUUGGACCUAUUAUUUUUGUCCGACAAGUGAUCUAAUAUGCAUUACACAUGUAAAAAAACAGUACAAAAUAAAAAUGACAUCUGUGGUACUAAAUAAAAAAAUUCCAGGAAAUUGACAUCUUCGGCUCAUCCGACUGCACAUAAGCCCCGUGAAAAUUGUCCGAUAAGGUUACCACAUUAUUAUAAAAAGGUUUUUUGGUAUAUUCUGUUAAAUUUAGCCAUGCGGUAAUAAAUUUAUUAUUUUCCUAAAUUUGACGUGUCCGACACGUCAUAUGGCCCAAUAUUUUUGUCCGACAGAAUUGUUUUCACUGUUUAUAUGGUAAAAACCAUUGAUUAAAAUAAAAUGACCAAUGUGGUUAUACAUUUUUUUCUUGCAUAAAAUUGACAACUUUGUGACAGCUUGACAGACAAACGCCCCACUACCAUAAUGCGCCAAGCUCCAAAUUUGUCCGACUCCACCCAAAUAACAAGUACAAAAAGUUUCGACGGUGUGGUCAUAAAUAAUUAUUUUAUAUGUGGGCCCAAGGACUACAUAAUGCCCUACAUACUAUUCGUGAACUGCCCACGAAUCGCGCAUCACGAAUCGCGAAUCACGCUUAGUCUGUAACGAGCUUUAGAAUUUAUACAAUUAAAAAGGACUACUCCGUUGAGAGUCAUAUUAAUUUGUAAAUGAUAUUAGAAAACAGUAAGUACAUACACAGUUGAUUUUUAUUAAUAAUUGCAAUUUCAAAUUAAGUUAAACGACAAGGGACGGGUAUAUAAUCAAAUCCUUCAGUAACGUUAUAGAUACUUCUUCUCCUUCUUCAGCCUUAAGCAAUCUCAUUUUGAACAUAUGCAUCCCCCAAUCCAAUCCAGUGUUUUCUAUUUUGCGCUACUUGCUUCCAGUUGUGUCCUCCAAUAUUCUUAAUGUCAUCAGCCCAUCUCAUUUGUGGCCUUCCCCUUAUUCUCCUUCCUAACCAUGAUCUCCAUUGUUGUGUUCCGAUGGUAGGUUACGGAAUCAAUUAAAAAUAAGUGUAAACAAUGAACAGUAAUAUAUUUAUUUUAUGUUGGGUAAACAAGCGUGCUUCGUUUAUUAUCUCGUAAGGGUUUGUUAGCGAGGGUGUGUCUGAAUCGUUCGCCUGCUGUGCCGAUACUGCCAGACCACAACACUCUAUUAUGCCAUCAUGCUUGCAGUUUUACAAUAUGGCUAGAAAGGCAAUAAAUUACUAACAUCUGCGUUUUAAAAGAUGAGAAACUUUCUGUAUUUUAAGAAGUUGACAUAAAGAGCGUGGCAAUCUCGCCUCGGAGUCUAUUAGUGUUUCCUUGAAAAAAACAUUAAUUUUAUAAAAUCUGCUUAGCGAUAUAUUUCGUUUCUUAAACUUAACGGCCCUUGUUAGCAUAUGGUUUGUAUAUUAAAAGUAAUUUCGUUUCGAGAAAAGUUAUUAAAAAUUUAGCAAAAAUAAUAAUUAAAACGUAUCGCUAUAGUUGUAUUUCGUGAUUCCAUCUUUUAUUCUUCAGUCGGGCAUUGUGUCCUGCGAAGCUCCAUUUUAAUUUGGCAGCAUGUUCUCCUGCUUCUUUUACUUUGGUUUUGCUUCUAAUCAAUUUGUUUGUUUUUUUGUCUGUAAGUCUCACCUCGAGCAUUGAUCUUUCCAUCAGUCUUUGUGCCUUUACUAUUUUAUCCAUAUUGCCCUUGGUGAGUGUCCACCUCUGUGAACCUUACGUGAGUAUAGGGAGGAUCCGCUGAUCGUAAACUCUGGUUUUCCAAAUAUUGUUUUAUUUUAGUGUUUUUCAAGAUCUAACUCAGAUUUCCAAAUCCUGCCCACGCUAACCUUAUUCAUCUGGUAAUUUCAGCACUUUGAUAUUCUUUGUGAACUUGCAUUACCUGUCCCAAGUAGAUGUAUUCGCUUACUGUUUCUAAAUUUAUGUCAUUCAACGUUAUUUUUCUAAUGUUCUGUAUAUUCCUCAUUAUUUUGGUUUUUUCCAAGUUCAUCUUAAGCCCUACUUUUUCCCAAGCUUGAAACAGUUGCGUCAUCAUGGUCUGUAAUUCGUCAAAGCGUGUAGCGAAUAUUACAAUGUCGUCAGCAUUUCUCAAAUGACUCAGUUUUCUUCCAUUAAUAUUGAUUCCUUUAUCUGCCCAGUUAUUGUCUUUGAACAGGUCUUCCAGUCCCAGUGUGAAUAGCUUUGACAAGAUAACGUCUCCCUGGCGGACUCCUCUGUUAAUUGGUAUAGCUUUGGUUUUCUCAUCUAUUUUUAUUUUCAUUUUUCAUCCGUUAUAAAUGUGAUCGAUUAAAAAUCAAUACAAUUUUAAAAUCCAAAUAAAACAUAAUUGGUACUACAUAAUAGUAACACUGUCGUACGAAAUUAUUAUCGUGAUUGAUAAUUCUUUAGCAAAAUAAUGGGAAGAAUUUUAUAGCUGUAGUUUAAUGAUGUGGUUUUCAUUGUUAUUAACAAACCUCACUCUUCGUUGUAUUUGAGAUUUUUAAGAUUUAAGAUGUUAAUUUAAAGAUAUCGACCCGUCCCUACAAAGAAACCGGUCUUAUUUGCUGUUUACUAGAUUUUAAAGUGAGUUUCUUUCAAAAUUGUGAUGCAAACGUAGGCUGCUAUGUACUUCUAACAAAUUAUAAACUUAUUUUUAGAGCUUUUUGUAUUGUAUACAGUGAACUACUUACAUACAUUAUGAAAUGUCGUACAAUUAUUGAGUCGCCAUCUCGAUGCCAAAUUCUCACACCCACAGAAUAUUUUAAUAUUAGAUAUGUUCUUAAUUCUGUACUCAAACUCUCGAAUUAAAGUAAGACUGCUUUUAUACAAUUGUAGUUUAAAGUGCAUAAAAACUUUUUUUCAAAAUCCGCGGAAAAAUUUCGAGACCACUACUCUUUUGUUUUUCUUUAUAGAUGAAACUUAUUAAGAACUGACUUAUUACUCAUAUACCUACUGAUAUGUCUGACAAGCUCUAAGACGUGUGAGACAGUGUCUUCCAAAUUUAUUAUCAGUGUUGCUUAUUUAAAAUAAACUCCUUAAUUUAAAAAUAUUUUAAUAGCUGUUUAGUAGUCACGAUACAUAAUGUACGUACGCGUACUGUGAUAUUUUAUUCCCAUUUCUUGUUAGUUUUGAGGCACUCUACACUCCGUCAACUAUUGGAAUGUUGUUCUUGUAAUCUGUUUUAAUAACUCGUCUUCACAAUAAUUUUCAACGAUUCGUCCGUUAAUAGUGAUCAGUUUCUUUUUUCAGCAAUUGGUGUUUUUUGUUUAUACAUAAUAUCGUAAAUGUAUUAUCAACUACAGUUGAGUUCAUGAUUCUUUACCCGUGCAUAAUCAUUUCAGACAUAUGAAAUAAAUCAUAAAUCUAUUCCACGCAACAGCAAGUGACAGAAAGUGGGUACUGCUCCGAUCACGGAUUAUAUUAUAGAAUUUGACGUUAUCAAAUAAAUAGAACUUAAAAUUUUAUUGCAGAAUUACAGCUACAUUUGCUACAAACUCCAGUAUAAAAUUGGUUAUGAAAACAACUGUUUAUUUAAUAAAAAUAACUUCUAAAUGCCAAAACAGGACAAAAAGAAAAACAACAAAAAAUCCAACAAACUGACAGUGACAAGUAAACAAACCAGAAACGUCACAAAUUGUACUUAAACUCUAAAAACGUUCCCGAGCGUCUUUUUUGUAGCUAUCUCUUUUCGAUGUACUAAGUCUAUAGCGUUUAUAAAAACAACAUGUGUCUUUUACUUAAUAACAGGCGGUAUCUGGUUUGUUUUUAGUUUCAUGCGUGAAAGACAAUGAUGCUAGAUAAAAAGUAUGUGUUUUAUCCAGAUAUUAAUGACGCACGGGUAAAGAACCCUGGACUCAACUGUAUUAUUGUACUUGCAGUUCUUUGGUCUAUUUUACUUUACUGCUAUUAUAUGCACAGGAUGCCGGUAAGCUUUUAAGUGGCCUGUAUAUUGUCGCAUCUUCUAAUUUAAUCUCUCUCUUUUUCUCCUUCUCUCUCUCUCUCUAUUUGUCUUUCUGUCCUUGUUUGAAACACAGUAAGUAAAUUAAACACAGUCUAAAUUAACUUCUCUAAUUGUUUGAUACAUACCUUGACGUUAAGUGACAUAAUAUGUCUAUACGGUUAUCGAGGCGAGAAUCAAGAAAAGGAGAAACUGACCAAAAACGUGAGGAAGAUCUACGGGUGGAGGAAGAAACAUGAACAGGAAGUCGAAGAAAAUAGUCCAAAAGUGGAAGAUGAUGACAGACACUUGUCUGACGCUGAUGGCUCUUUUUCAGAUGUAAUUAUGUAGAAGUAUUAGUUUGUGUUAAAUAGAUAAUAUGCCGUCGUCAAUUCUAACAAUAAGCCUACAGAGAACGAACAUAACAGAAGACACGUACAGAAAAAAAUAGACAAAAAAAUAGAUGCAAGCAGUAAGACACAGACCAGCUAUCGACUUUAAUCGGAUAAAGCUCCAUGAGAUCCAAAACAUAGAACACUGAAGGUAUCAUUAUUUUCAAAUAGCUAGGUAUACAUAAGAAAAUGUCAUUUUAGUCAAAAGUACUUGAAGUCUUGAUUUCUGAUCAAAAAACACUUUGCAAAGUCAAUUAUGUGCCAAGACUUUACACUUUUGUUUAAAAUGGCAUUUUCAUGUGUCAUGAAAAACGGAUUUUAAACAAAAGUGCAAAGUCUUUGCACAGAAUUGACUUUACAAAGAGUUUUUUGAUCAGAAAUCAAGACUUCAACUACUUUUGACUAAAAUGACAUUUUCUUAUGUAUACCUAUUUGAAGAAAAUCAUGACACCUUCAGUGUUAUAUGUUUUGGAUCACAUGGAAGCUUUAUCCGACUAAAGUCGAUAGCUGGUCUGUGUCUUACUGCCUAAGUACAUCCAUUUUAAAAAUUUCGUUUGUUCUAUAUUUUGUAUAUUUUUUGUAUACGUGUCUUUUGUUAUGUUUGUUGUCUGUGGGUUUAUUGUUAGACUUGAUGACACCAGUUUCUGUACAUAUUAUGUAUUAAACACAAACUAAUGCUUCUACAUAAUUACAUCUGAAAAAGAGCCAUCAGUCACCAUCAUCCACUUCCGGGCUAUUUUCUUCGACAUCUCUAGCUCACCUUCUUCCACAGGUUGAUCUUCCUCAACAGGUUGAUCUUCCCCAGCAGGUUGAUCUUCUUCAGGUUUUUGGUCAGGGUUCUCGUUUUCCUGAUUUUCUCCUUGAUAACCGUAUAGAGCUAACAAUUGCUCCAGGGCCAUAUCACCUUCCAUAUUUGCUGAAAAGGCCUGCUGGCUUCCACAACUCACUAGGGAUUCUCUAUGACUGACAUAGAGAAUCUCCAUUCUCUAUAUUAGUUGUGGAAGUUAGCAAGCUUUUUCAGCAAAUAUGGAAGGUGAUAUGGCCCUGGAGCAAUUGAUAGAUCAAUACGGUUAUCAAGGAGAUAAUCAAGAAAACGAGGAUCCUGGAAAAACCUGAAUUAGAUGAACCUGCUGAGGAAAAUCAACCUUAUGAAGAAAAUCAACCUGUGGAGGAAGAACUGCAACAGGAAGUAGAAGAAAAGAGCCAGAAAGUGGAAGAUGUUGGUGACAGACACGUGUCUGAUGGUUCUUUUUUAGAUUUAAUUAUGUAGAAGUAUUACCUAGUUUGCGUUUAAUACAUAAUAUGUACAGAAACUGGUCGUCUAUUCUAACAAUAAGCCCACAGAGAACAAAACAUCUUCAAAUAUCUUUAAUAAUUUUUGGACCUUUUCGUAGCUUACGUUAUUUCGUUUUCAGUUCUUGAUUAUUCCUACGUUUCUCUUUUCCCUCCCUCUCUCUCUCUCUCUCUCUCUCUCUCUGUCUCUCUUUGUCUUUAUGUCCCUGUUUGAAACAAGUUGAGCGAAAACAGAAAGCUUUCACGAUAUGUCUAAAUUAAUUACCCUAAUUGUUUGAUACAUACCUUGACGUUAAUUGACAUAAUACGUCUAUACGGUUAUCGAGAUGAGAAUCAAGAAAACGAGGGACCUGAACAAAAACCUGAGGAAUAUCAACCUGUUGAUCUAGCGGUGAUGGAAGAACAGGAACAAGAAGUCGAAGAAAAGAGCUUGGAAGUGGAAGAUGCUUGUGACAGACGCUUGUCUGAUGGCUCUUUUUCAGAUGUAAUUAUGUAAAAGCAUUAGUUUGUGUUUAAUACAUAAUAUGUACAGAAACUGGUCGUCAAUUUUAACAAUAAGCCCACAUAGGACAAACAUAACAGAAGACACGUACAAAAAAAAAAUAAAUGAAAUAUAGAACAAAUGAAACGUUAAAAUGAAUGCAGGCAGUAAGACACAGAGCAGCUAAUGACUUUAGUCGGAUAAAGCUUCCAUGUGAUUUAAAACAUAUAACACUGAAGGUGUCAUCAUUUUGAAAUAGGUAUACAUAAAAAAAUGUAAUUUUAGUCAAGAGUUCUUGAAAUCUUGAUCUCUGAUCAAAAAACACUUUGCAAAGUCGAUUCAUGUGUCAUGAUAAUGCCAUUUUAAACAAAAGUGUCUUUGCACAGAAUUGACUUUGCAAAAUCUUUUUUGAUCAGAAAUCAAGACUGUGUACUUUUGACUAAAAUGGCAUUACCUAAUAUAUACCUAUUUGAAAAUGAUGACACUUUCAGUGUUAUAUGUUUUGGAUCACAUAGAAGCUUUAUCCGACUAACGUCGAUAGUUAAUCUAUGUCUUACUGCCUAAGUACAUCCAUUUUAAAAAUUUCAUUUGUUCUAUAUUUUGUUUAUUUUUUGUGUAGGUGUCUUCUGUUAUAUUUGUUGUCUGUGGGUUUAUUGUUAGACUUGACGACACCAGUUUCUGUACAUAUGUAUUAAACACAAACUAAUACUUCUAUAUAAUUACAUCUGAAAAAGAGCCAUCAGUCAUCAUCUUCCACUUCCGGGCUAUUUUCUUCGACAUCUGUUCCUGAUCUUCUUCCACAGGUUGAUCUUCCUCUACAGGUUGAUCUUCCCCAGCAGAUUGAUCUUCCUCAGGUUUUUGUCAAGGUCCUCGUUUUCCUGAUUCUCUCCUUGAUAUCCGUAAAGAGCUAACAAUUGCUCCAGGGACAUAUCGCCUUCCAUAUUUGCUGAAAAGGCUUGCUGGCCUCCACAACUCACUAGAGAUUCUCUAUGACUGACAUAGAGGAUCUCCAUUCUCUAUAUUAGUUGUGGAAGUUAGCAAGCUUUUUCAGCAAAUAUGGAAGGUGAUAUGGCCCUGAAGCAAUUGUUAGAUCAAUACGGUUAUCAAGGUGAAAAUCAAGAAAACGAGAACCCUGAGCAAAAACCUGAGGAAGAUCAACCUGCUGAGGAAGAUCAACCUGUUAAGGAAGAUCAACCAGUGGAGGAAGAUCAGGAACAGGAAGUCGAAGAAAAUAACCCAAAAGUGGAAAAUGGUGACAGAUACUUUUCUGAUGGCUCUUUUUCAGAUGUAAUUAUGUAAAUGUAUUAGUUUGUGUUUAACAGAUAAUAUGUACAGAAACUGGUCGUAUAUUCUAACAAUAAGCCCACAGAGAACAAAACAUAACAUCUUCAAAUAUCUUUAAUAAUUUUGGACCUUUUCCUACCUUAUCUGAUUUCGUUUUCAGCUCUUGAUUAUUCCGACGUUUCUUACGUUCAGAAUGGGAGACGAAAUAAAAAAAAGUGAAACGACAUGGAACUUUGUAACAGAACUUGUUAGCUGAGUAGGGCGUAUUAUUGCCUGAGCGGAUGAGCAAGACAAGAUUAUAAAGAUUGCCGGCUUACUGCAUUAGCAUCAUCUAUCAGAAAAUUUUCCAAGUUUUUCGAGUUGCGUUCACAGCAAUACCAAUAAUCCUAGUAGCGUAUCCACAUGUCGCGUUUCUAAGUGUUAAACAAAUUCUUACUAUAUUGAUCUACAUUUGUCCAUUGCUGGACGUAGGCCUCCCUUCAAAUUUUCCACUUAUUUCUAUCUUGAGCUUCUUGUCAUCACCUAAUCGGCGGUGGUCUUCUGCUUCGAUAUGUCUCUUGUCUUCGUCGCCACUCCAUAAUCUUUCUGGUUCAUUUAUCAUCCGUUAUCAUUCUUUCAAGUGCAUCCGUCACUCCUGUUCGUUUUCUUAUUUCUGGGUUUGGUACUUUAUCUCCGAUAGUAAUAACUAACAUUGAUCUUUCCAUAGCGUGCUGUUUAAUUCGUAUUUUAUUUAUUCUUCCUUUUGUUAAAGUUAGUGUUUCUGCAGUAUAUGGAAGAACCGUUAAAACACAUUGGAUAAAAACCUUUCUUUUUAAGCAAACUGGAAUAUUAGACUAAACAAUGUUGUUCAAUCUACCAAAGGCAGCUCAUGUGAGACAUAUCGUUCUUUUUAUUUCAGUUCUGAUUAUCUCGGCAUAAGAGAAUCUCAUAAUCGGGAUUUGUGAACUAUUAUUUGGCCAAUUAUAUGUCAACAAAAUUAGACAACAAGAUAUAUGAUUUAAACAUGGACUAUGGCAUCUCUUUGACUCGGGUGUCUCACGACAAAUCAUGCUGUUUUCAGUUUUCGUAUGCUUUCAGAGUUCUGUUACUGGAAAGACCCCCAUUCACGUUGAGGUCGUUAUCUAUACAUGUAGCAAGUAUCAGUAUCGCGAUACAAAUCUCAUAGUGUAUUUGGCUAUCUUAGUAUUGCUGUAUCAGUCUACAACUCUAUCGCCAUCUGUAUCACUGGAGUGAAACAGAUACAAAUCUCAUGAUGCGUGUAUCGCAACUUGUUGCGAUACACGUAUCGAUACCGAUCUUAACAUGAAUGAAGGCCUUUACUUUUACUCCCUCCAAAGAAGAUCACUGGCCUCAACAGGAUCUGUUUUAUCGGAAGUAAGUUCAAAAACAGUACGUGCGUAUAUUGAACAUAAGAUACCUCUUUUUACACCACAUACGUGUUGAUGAAAUGCGGACAAAGUUUUAAACGGUUUUUCUGAUUUUAAUCUCUUAUAGAUGGUUUAAGAAGUAGGAAAAAACUUAAUAAUUUAUUUAUGCAAACAGUAUCUUUGAGCCCCUAUUCAUACGUAAUAGGUAUGUGGGAUUAUUUAUUACGAUAUUUUAAGUGUAAUAUUAACAAAAAGUUUUUAUGCAACUAAACAUUUAUCACUUUUAUCCUAGUCAGCCUAGUGACAUUUUUAAUCCUUGAUAAUAAUAUAUUUCGGUCAAUUCACAUAAAUAUAUUAUUUUAACAACUCUUUCUCUGUGAUAAUCACUGCUAUUAUUUAUUAGUCCGUUAUUGAAUUUACUUUUGUGCUCUUUUCUUGUGGGUGAUUAAUUUAAAUUAGAUUAAGAACUAAAAUUUUUAAUUAAAUACAUAGGGCAGAUCUUAACAAUUGAUCAUUCUAAAUGUAAGGUUAAAUUGAAUUAAAUCAAUGUAACAUUAAGUUGGUAGCAAACAACAUCAGCUUUGUUUGCCAGUUAUACUACAACAUUUUACUGACAAUGCAGGACAAAAUUUGCAUGCCAAAAUUCCUCUAACCGGGAUUUAAUCGGGACAGAAAGUACCGGCCUUUAGUAUAUUAAUACUACAAAAGUGGUUAUAAGUUCAUAUUUUCCGUUUUUACUCUUCGAAAUCCACACUCAUAAUCUCCUAACAUGGGGAUCCAUUCGUAUUCGUAGUUGAUCUUGUUAGUACCUUGUAAUAACCUUUAUAAUUAAAUAAUUCCAAUUUAGAACAUCGUUUAUUAUCUAAAUUGGAGAGACCAAGGCGCCAUUUCAGUCACUGACCGUUGACUCUUUAGUAUCUAUAUGUCUUUCCGUUCCAUAUUUUAGUUUUUAUGAAUGUUAAUCAUAUCUUGACCAGAGGCUGUACUGUUUUCAUUAUUUUUAUUGUUUCCUAUAGGUUAACUGCUAAUUCGUCAUAUCUUUUUGGUGCUAUCGUCUGGGCAUAUCGUUGGCAUAUUUAAGUUUUCUUCAAAUUCCUAUCUUAGAUAAAUUGUUGAAAUAUUAUUUACACUACCAAUCUGAUUAUCCAGUUUCCAUCCGGAUAGUUUAAAGUAUUUACUAUUAUAUCUUUGCUGAUUAUUUGGGCUUCCUUACAUCUAUAAAAAUAUUUUAGAUACUUAUAUAUACUGCAAAACGUUCGUUUACUAUUAUUACGAACUUAUAAUAAUUUUCACGUUUUCUACUGCUGCUUUAAAUAAUUAGUUGGGUAUAAAAUCCGAUCAGAUAUUGAGUAUUGCUGCUAUGUAUGAAUAAGCAGAUAUAAGAAACAUGUAUCUAUAUUUUUGACCUCAACUUAUAUCUAACGGGCGAAUGCUUAUUUUUUAUUCCAUCUAUUAACUUUGUAGCUAUUCUGUCUUAUAAAGUCCUAUUGAUGAUUUGUCCAAUAUAUAUGUGAUAUAUGAUAUAUUCCAGGAAAGCAAGGAAAAUGUUCUCCAUUUGAAAUUUGAACACGAACGGUUAAAGAAAGACAAUGAAGACAAUUAUUUCAAACAGAAAUCGGCCGUUUCAACAUAUUUGUAUUCAUAGACAUAUUCUAGUGUCAAAUUCACCAAACACGAAUUCAAAAGAUUCACAAACAUAUUUUAUUUCAGAAACUAGUUAUAAAAAUAUAAUUCUGACUGAAUAUUUAGCAGUUUGUAUUGGUAUAUUCAAACUUUUAGACAUCUUGGAUUUUAGUUACCCUAUGUAACGCACAGCUGAAUCUUAUGUUUGUGCGUCACAGUGUUGCCAUGCCAUUUCUUUCAUAAUUUAAAUCAAUGUUAAAUGUACCUACAAGAAUAAUAGAAUAAGAACGUUUACUUCUCCGUCAUUCUACCUAAUGAGGUGUCAAAUGAAAGCUUAUAAUCCAAGGAUAGUACUAAAGGUGAGAAAUUAGACCUAGAUUGUCUGCCCCUCAAAAAAUAAGCGUUAUAUUGGGGAUUUCUAAUGUCGACAUUAAAAGUUGCACUAUUUUUUUCUAUAAAACAUUUUAAUCUAAAACUUACCAGAAAACUUCUUUGUACUCUACUUUCAAACAAACGUGAUUAAGAAGCUAAAUUUUAAACUUCGUUACACAACUUUUGUGAUUAAACUUUGUAAUGCACAAAUCCGCACCUUUUUCUUUGAAAAAUUCAUAACCUUUAUCAUGAUAAAAAUAAAAACUUAAAGCAGGUACCUUUGUCUUCAGAAUUGUUAGAGCUAUAUACUGUAAAAAUUUCAGAAAAAAAUAUUAAAAUGGAACAGAGUUGUAGCGAGGUAAACGCAAAAAACGUGAUUUCAUUUUUUUUUAUUUUUAGGUUAAAAUUGCGAUUUUGACAAUGUUCCCCCACAUAAAAUUCAAAAUAAACCUCAUUUUCGUUUUCAGCACCCUCGAAAAUAUAAAGUAUGAAUAAAAUUAGCCAUUCAUCCCUCCGUGGUCAGUAUCUCGAAAACUAAGCGCUUUUUUGAGGGUGUAUAAUAUCACAAAAAAUUGUAACGUGAUAGUAUGAAAAAAUAGAGGAUACGGCAACGGUGUUACAAGUGAUGGUCGGAUCCGUCGGAUUCAAUGCCAAAAUCUACAGACAUAUUAGGGUGCACAAAUAGCCAAGAUGUCCAAACUUUUUAUCUACGUUUUAUCUCAGCCAUCAAAUAUACUGAUUCAUGUAGGUACCUUUUUCGAAAUGAGUGUGAGACAUUUGGCAGUUUUCCUAUACAUAUACAUAAUAGACAGAUAACCUUUAAAAUCCACACAGCAAGCUCAAUCACAGAAACAUCAUGAACCUUACAAAUAAGCAUGUCCAAAAAAAAAUGAAUCCCAAAAACAUUAACUAUUUUAAUUUGAUACUGAAUUCGAUACACAGUAUUAAAAACGACAAAGGAAAGCAAUAAAUACUCGAACUAUUUUACUAGUGACUAGUAUACCAACUAGUUUGACUCUGUCUUACUAUAAGAACACACUACUGACAAUUAAAUGUUUUUAGUAAUGUCGGAUUUCAUAGUUUCGUUCCUAGAUUGACAUCACUAAACGAGUGAGUAAGGCUCACGAAAUUUUGUAAGACCAAUAUAUAAAUCUUCGAUAGAAAUGGAAUGUAUCGAAUAUGUGGCUUCUCCGUCUGAAGAACACAAGCAAUGGCUGUUCAUGACGUUCAUAUUGAGUAUCAGCAUAUAUGGUGUAGGUGUUCCGGACGAAAAAACCAGGAAGCUUUAUAGAGCAGGAAACGGAAAUUAUUCUUACUUUGGACACGUAAGGUUAGCUCAACAUGUUGCAAGUUAAUCGGACGAAAGUCAGGGAUGAAUGAUUUAUAUUACCAAAACUAUGGGGUCGGUUUUAGAUUCUUUCUAGAUAGAAAGUAGUUCUAUCUCGGUCAUAUUACGACUACAACCUGGAGCGUGUACUAUAGCUAACUGCCAAUCCAUAGGUCUCUUCGAAGUCUUCUAACAAUUUUUCUGUGGGAACUUAUAAUACUACUAGUGUUAAAGUCCAAUCAUUAUUUGUCUGGGGACAGUCGAUGCGCUCUGUUAUAUCUAAAGUCUUAGCUGUUUCUAGAAUGACUGGUGUACAUGCUGAUUGGAAUUACAUACAUACAGGGUGUCCCGGAAAAUAGUGCGUUCCUUUAAGGUAUGGAGAGAAUACACAAUUUGGAACAAAAAAGUCCUAUACCAUUUUUUUCUAAAGUUAAGCGUUUCCAAAAAAAAGUUAACAUUGUUUUCCAUAUACCUGUAUUUUAAUGUUUGGAAAUUUUAAUAAACUGGCAACAUCGUACGCACUACGGCAUAAUAACAUAAUAAGAACUCGUUUGUGAUUGUGAUUAACAGUAUUUAAAAUAAUCCAACCUAAUAGUAGGUAAUACUACUUAUGUAUUUACUAUUUGUUUAUUAAAAUUAUUUUCUUUUGAAAUGUAUUGAAAUACCUAUUGCAUAAUUUUAAACGAAUUACACAUCUUUUAACAUAAAAACACAUCUUUUAACUAAACUAGUAUUAUGUAUUUAGUAAGGUUUAAAUGGGUUGAAUGCUGAGUAUUGCUGAGGGCUUUAACUGAAUUACAUAGUUUUAAUAGUUUACAGUGGAACUUAAAUACACCAGAUAAUGUCUCAGUAAUUUGUUUACUUGUGAACUGAAAUAACUAAGUUGUACUUACUUGAAAAUAAUUAAUAUAAAUAUACCGAAUAGAUGUUUCAAGUAACCUUUCACAAACACCAUUCAUAGGUAAUAACAUAAUAGGUAAUACACUCACUAUUCGAAAACAUUUUCGGCAUUGACACUAAACGGGAUUCUUUAAAACUAUCUGUUUACUAUCAUCUUCUAUCUAUUUACAUGGGACUGUCUAUGCUUAAAUUUGCGUACCGCACAUAGUUGUCAGAUUUAAAUUUGGAUACCAAAAUACAUUUUAAUUUUUUGGUCAAACGGUUGCAUUUAGAAAAAAAUGUUAUAAGAGUUUUUUGUUCUACAUGGUGCCUUCUACCUAUACCUUUAAGGAACGCACUAUUUUCCGGGACACCCUGUAUUAUGAAAAUAUAAACUGUUUGGGUUUCCGAUCUAAUAUUUAUAGUUUCUACUUUUCCGUGGAAUUAUUUUCACAAGUGAUUGUAAAACUAGAUGCAAUGGUCAACUUUUGUUUAUAUUUAAAAUGAUCAAUAAUAGGUCUGCCAACAAAAUAGUUUGACAACUGUACAGCUUCUUAUAUAUAGAUAAGUUGUUUGUCGAAAAAUAUGCAGUUGUAGAAGAGAUCUUUGUAACGGUAUUUCGAGAAUAUUUUGAACUGAACUGAUAAUUUCACCAAAUCGGUAACCGCAGUUUAUUAAAUGUACGUUAUUAUGUUUCAAUAAUUAAGUACAUUUAUACAGGGUGUAAUAUAAAGACAGGUCAUAAAUUAAACCACAUAUUCUGGGACCAAAAAUAGUUCGAUUGAACCUAACUUACCUUACAAAAAUGUGCACAUAAAAAGUCUACAGCCCUUUGAAUUUACAAAAUGAAAAUCUAUUUUUCCAAUAUAUUAAAAACUAUUAGAUAUUAGAAUAUCUUAAAAAACAGUGAAAUUUGUGCAUCCCAUAAAAAUUUUAUGGGGAUUUUGUUACGUUAAACCUCCCAAAGUAUUUAUGUACUUUACAAUUAAAUUAUUAUUGUAGUACCAUGAGUUUAAACACUUAAAACUUUUUUUGCAUUUUCAAUAAAAAAUCUCUAAUAGUUUUCGAUAUGUUGCAAAAAAUCGGUUUUCAUUUUGUAACUUCAAAGGGCUGUAAUUUUUUUAUAUGUAUUACAGUUGUAGUAAGGUAAGUUAGGUUCAAUCGAACCAUUUUUGGUCCCAGAAUAUGUGAUUUAAUUUAUAACCUACCUUUUUGUUACACCCUAUAUAUUUAGUUGUAUAAACACUUUAAAACAGUGACAAAAUCAAAUUAAUGUUAGAAGGUUACCACUCGAUUGACAUUUGUGAAAUUAUCAAUAUGCUUCUUAGUUUGUAAGAAAUUUUUAUUAGGGAUUAUGCUACAGGGUGAUUUAGAUAUUUGAAAAUGUAAAUAAUAAAGAAAAAAAUCAUGUAUAUAACAGUAGACAAGUGAAUAUUUCUUUAGUUGAAACAAACUGUGGAACAAAAAUUUUAAAAGCAAUUUAAUAUAAUUAAUUAAAGGUUUAGACAUUAUUUUUUAUAUUUAUUUGUGUUUCUAUUGGUCUAAGUAACCAAGACAUAAGUGCUAACAGAACUUCAAAUAGGCAUUUUUAAAGCUUUAUACCUAGAAUAUAUUCAACUACAAUUGAAAGGUAUUCAAAGUUGUUGUAAUUUUUAAAAUGUGUUGAAUUUUCGACCUAUACCGGGUUGUGAAUCGUAAAACGGGCCAUAGGAGACUCAAUGUAAAAUUCUAAACUGUUGAAUUCCUGCUUCCCUAAUUAUUUUACAUCAAAAGUCAUGAGAGAAUAUUUGUAGAGAAUUGAAAUCUGUAUUAAAAUCAAAAGUUAAAAUUGUUCUACGAUUUAAACGCAUUCCAAAAUUUUGAGUACACAGUAGGUAUGUGUGUAAAAGUUAGGUCACACGUUACUAUUUAACUGACAGUGCUCACACCAUUGACUGAAUAAAAAAUCUUUAUUACAUUAAUACUUUCUCCGCAACUGAGGGUAUCUUAUCAACUGUAUUGUUUUUAAACAAUAAAUGAUAAAAUAAAAAUAUUGACAGUUCAAAAAUGUGAAAAUAAUAACUUCAUUGUGACACAUUAUUGCACUGUGUGUGGCCUAAUUUUGAGCUGAAAAACUGAAAAAUGUAUUACAUUUUUACAAAAUUCUGGAAUAUGUUUAAUUCGUAGAACAAUUUUAACAGUUGUUUUCAAUACAGAUUGCAAUCCUCUACAAAUAGUUUCCAAUGUCUUUUGAUGUAAAAUAAUUAGGGAAGCAGGAAUUCAACAGUUUAGAAUUUUACAUUGAGUUUCCUAUGACCCGUUUUCCAAAUCACCACCCGGUAUAUCAUCUUGUUCAAAAGCUGCUAUAAGUCUACAUUUUGUAUAGAAUUAAUUUCUGGCAUUAUAAUAUAGGAUAAUACUUGAAUGAAUAAAAACUUUCUGCAAGCUACUGUAAAAAGCAAAUUGUAUUUGCCUUAUGUCUUUGUCUACACUGGUGCGCUUUCGUCUUCCUCUUUCAAUUCAAAAAGCCUUUUCAACUUGCACUUCAACUGCCAACAUUGCAUGCCAUGAUGAGCAAGAUAAGAUGCGUGUAAAGUGCUGUACCCAUUGGUUGCGCUAUUUUGACAGUUGAUAAAAGUAUUUGUUUGGGAAGUACGGGACAUAAUUACAAUAUUGCUUUCGAUAAAACUGAUAAGGCGCAGGAAACAACAUGAAUUGAAAGAGAGGUUGAACGAAAAAUCCAACAGGUUUGCAUCUUCAUGCGUCAGACCGUGCGCUAUAAAAUUUCCACCUUAAACUCCAAACAAGGCAUGCUGUAGCGCAUACCUUUUGUUCAUUACACCGUGCGCUGUGACGCAUGCGUUUGUUGAACACAAAGUUGCACUAGUGUAGACAGAGCUUUAACAUUUGUUAGCACUUUGUCUUGUUGCCAAUAAAAAUAUUAAUGUAAUAAUAAUUAUUAACUUCAGUUACGGCAAUAUAAGUUAUACAUAUCAAGCUUAUAAGAAGUAUGUCCAACAUAUCAGGUACGUAAGGACAUAGAGUGAUGGAAAAAGGGUAUUUAAUCUAUAUAUGAUUUAUGUCAUUGGAAUUUAAGGGUAAAAUUUACAAAAAGUUGUUAUGCGAAGUGUACUUGCUUAUUAAAGUGUUAAUGGAAAUGGAAAGGCAUUCGGCACAGAUCAUGUUUAACUGUUCACUGCAGUACUUAUUAAUAAGUAGGUACUUAAAUCAAUAUCUUAUUUAGUUUUUAAUUUAAUGGAUGUACAUUGGAUGUCAAUGAGUUAAAUAUUAUGGCGUUUAUCUUCAAUGCGUGUAGAAUGAUUAAAUAACUGAACUACAUAUCAAAAAGUAGAACAAUUCAGUUUUCUCUUGAAAUAAAAAUUAUCUAUGCCACAACUGUGUAGUCUUCUGUGACAUGAUUGAUACUUUUUGUCGUUAUAUUUAAAUAUCAUAUUGUAAAUAAUUUUUAGAUAUUUCAAUAUUGAGGAUCACCCUGAAGUUUAAUAUUUUUUAUUAACAAGUAGGCAGUUACUAACUGGAGAAUAACAUAGACUUAGAAAAUAAAUAAGGCUGUUUAUUAUUUGCAACUAACUGGUCAGUUACACGAAGGAAAUUCUACAUUCGGAUUGGAAAGUUUUAUAAAGCCAUAGCACGCCAUAGUAACAAACAAUGACAUAUGGCUAAAGGUUCUUCUCAACCAAGGCCAAAAAAUAAAACAAAACAAAAAUAAAAAUGACAAAUGUUUAGCUUGGAAGCUUUUUUAACCUUUCAAGGCAUGGCUAUGAAAUCUUGGAUUAUUUAUUCUUAAGUCGUUUCUAGUGAGUUUGUGAUAAAACAUGAACCCUCAGGCAUCCGUAAAAGGUCUGCGGUUUUGAAUUAGAUUUUGUGAGUAGAUCGAGUCGGACGAUGGAUGAGUAGUAGGAACGCUAAGGGCCAAUUUCUCAUAUCGAGUUCAACUCAAAGAUAUGUCAACAAUAGAUCUGGCUAGGGAUAUGCCACUCAAUGCAUCGGGGUGUAACGCCAAUAUCAAGUACAGUGGUCUAGCUAUCUUUGUCUGUCGUGCGAGUGUGAGCGUAUCUACCAAGAGGUGGGAGUAAUGGAACGAAAGUGACACAGAGGCGGCAGCCAUCAUAUGCUAGAGAGAGAAAGCUAAGCGCCGGUAGAGAGAGAUAGAUAGACCACCGACCCGAACUGCCCCGCGUUACGCUAUUUUUCGGACCUGGCCUAAUCUAUUGUGUUAUUAUAUCUAUGGUUCAACUCCAGUUUAACCAAUGAACGUCAGUUUAAAGUCAAAAUCGUCGUUCUUAAUCCACGUUUAACCGAGGGCAGUUUAAACUUGAACGAUGCUUGAACGCUGGAAUUCGGCCGUUCAAAGAUUUCUGAACCCAGUUCAGAUGAUUUCAUGGAUUACGCAUGCGUCGUAUUAACACGAAACGCUGUCAUAAUAUAAAUAUAACAUAUUUUAUUAUAUUAAGCCUAACGAUAAAAGAUAACAUUAUUUUUGUUUUUAUAACAUUUAUUUAUAAUUAUGAAAAUGACCAUUUGACAAUAAAUACUUAAAUUUAACUUUAUUAAAAAACAGCAUAAAAAGGUAGUUCAAAAUGGCGACAGUCUUUUCCUUUUGCCAUCUAUUGGCAUUUCUCGAAAGCUGUAGAACGUGCACUGACAUAAACGUGCAAUGAGAAAUGCAUUCCAAACAAAACCGAAGUUCACCGGUGAACCUGGUUCAACUGAACCAUAGAUUACCGCAGGUAUGAGAAAUCGACCCUAAGAGGUAGUCUUGCAGUCCUCAUUCAUUGAUUCCUACCAAAAGAUGCUAAUACUCUAUAUUCUAGAAAAUCAGAAUGUAUAUAGCUGACGCUAUUUAUAUAAACUUAUUAGAUAAAGAAAGGAUCAAUUUUAAAGAACUUUCAUCGUACCAGAUGCAAUUGAAGCGUUUAUUUGAAUAACAACACAUUAUGCAUUAUUCUCAUAGAAUAGUAGUUUCUUUCUCGAUCUCACACAUUCAAUUUUGUAAAAAUCGCAAUUGUCUGGAGUAAACUACAUAUAAAGUUCGAAUAGUUUAAGAAAAACAACAGAUACCCAUGCAGAUUGUUGUAAAAGUAACACUUGUCCCAUCUUAUUCAACGGUCAUCGCUAAGCGUAAAUGAUCUUAUCCGUAAAUUUAUCAGUUGUCUGCGUUCUUUAUUAGUAAUAUGUGAUGUUUGUUUCUUUUGCAUUAGAAAUACUUCAGCAUUGCGGAAACUGUUCAACACAAUACCUCUAUAUUUUCCAUUAUAUUUUGCUACGUUUGUACCUAUUUUUGGUUAAAAUAUCAACAAAAAUAUGAAACCACUUUGCACAAUUAUUUUGAUAUCCACAUUACUUCUAAUGAAUAUCUUAUUAAAAGUGAGAUUUGAAAUAAAUUGAAGCUGGGUAGUUUUUCUUGAUUUGCCAAAAUUUCAAUUUUUGGACAAGUGUUGUUUUCGAAAUAAAUGCUUCAAUUGAACUGUGAAGAAUGUACUUAAUAAAUGGGUACUUACACAUAGGUACAUAUAUUUAUAAUCUAAACUCGAUCAACCUUAGGGUUGGAACAAAAAAUCAGAAAACAGUAACUCUGUGGUUUGUUUUGGAAUGUCCUGACGGACAAAUGUUUUAUUGUAUGAAAUUCUGAAAUUGGGGGCUUCUUUUUUCCUUGAGAUGCUGUGAAUAGCCUAAAUUUUUACCUCCAAUUAGAAGAUAUUAAGUAGAAAAGCGAGGAACAUUAUGUUAACGGACAAAAACGAUUGUGUCAUAAACGCUUAGGGCACCUACAUUAUGUAAUUUAGAAGUCAGAAACGGCAAAGUUAUAUAUAGUUUAUUGUAAAUCUACAACUUUUCAGUAUCGAACUGCAAAAACACGUAUUGUGUCUGCUAAUAAUAUUAUUACGUUGUAAUGCUUCCAAUGAAGCAUUCCUGAGAAAAUUUGACUUUUGCUAAUGAUUUAAUUAAUAAGCGGGAAAAAAGAACAUUUUGGUGGCAGAUACGCUUAGUGCUUUUAUAUCUGUGUCUGUCAACAUUUUUCUCAAGUCAAAGGCGUACAUGAUGCCCAUACAAGCUACCCAUUCCAAAAAAGAAUAACAGAAAGAAGCAUAAACAUAUAUGUCACGAAAAAUGAUGGAGAUGAACAAAGCUCGGCAAAAAUUAAGCCUCAUAUCUUAGCCUCAGCCAAGGAAGUUCUUGGAGAAAGAAAUAUAGAUAAAAAUAAAUCGUUCCCAAGGCGAUAAACUCCAUGGUUUUGUACAGAAGUAAAAGAAAAAUGUAAAGAAAAGAAGAAAGCUUAUCUGAAAUACAUGACAACCAAGAUACAAGAGGCAUACGAUAAUUACAAGACAAUACAUGCACUUGUAAAAAGAAUGAAACAUGAUCACUGAGAACGUGUUUGAUAAAAAAAAAUGGAACAUGAUUUUUAUGGUCAACAAAAGGAAAUAUGGCUUUUUAUAAGUUAAAGAACGGAGGUACCUAAAGGAACUAAUAGAACCAAAACACAUAUGAACACAGAGAAACAUACAUGGAUUGACUAUCUAGAAAUACUCGUAAAAUGCAGUGGAAUAACAUACGACCCUACAACCAGAAACACCAGAACUGACAACAAAUGAAGAUGUUAAUAUAAAUGCACAGGAAGUUACUCGAAAAGCUGAAGAACAGAGAAGCUGCAGGUAAAGACGGAAUACCAAACGAAUUACUGUAAUAUUGUAGGAACAAUGUCAUUGAGGAACAAUGACAGAACAGUUAACAGCAUUACAUAAUUAUUAAACACAAUAAACUACUAGAAAAAUGGAGAACAAGCGAAAUAAUAUUUAAAAAACUGCUAUUUAAAAAAGGAAAUAAAAAACAGCCAGAAAUUUACACAGGUAUAAACUGCUAAAUACUACCCUAAAACUAAAAUUUUACGAGAACUAAUGAAUCAGAGGGUUGCAGAUGAACAAUAGGGUUUUCGUACCCUAUUGUUCAUCUUAAUUGAAGAAUCGUCUACAAAUGUAAUAUUUGUUAUAAAGCAAAUUACUGAGAAAUUACUACAGUAUAUUAGACCAGCAUGUCUGUGUCUGAUUAACUGUUUGCAACCCGACAUUCUUAGAUAAUUCUCAAGUAGUAGUAAUUUUCUAAAACAUCGAAAAAUUUAAUUAAAAUUUUUAUUCAGACAUCUCGAUACUAUUUACAAUCUGAUCUUACAUUAAAAAUUCUACAUCAAAUAAUCUCGACGCUUCGAUAAUAUCUUAAUAUCGACUUUGUCGAAUCAAAUCUUCAUGUAACUGACACGUAACUCAUCAUGAUCAUGAAGAAUGUACUUACGAGCACAAUAUUUAUCCAUUUUUUCUAAUAUUUUUUUUUAUAUAAUUUUCAACAUGAUCAUGAAAUUAAUAACUAUAUGGCACACAUUGUAUAGAUCACUUAUUUUUAAUGUGACCAAAAUGAAAUAGGAUGUAACAAAGAAAAACUUUUUAUUAGUAAGUUUAGUGGAAUUGUAUAAUAUAAGUAAUAUCAGCUUAGAACAGAUUGAGAUAUUUAUAUUAAAGGAGUUUCCUUCAUUGAUACGUUGUGAUUUCUAAAAGUGUGUAGAGCUCUUGUCCAAAGUUUUUAUGUUUCUUUGUUAUUUAUACUUUUGGCCCCUUUUGGUAUAGAACUUUAUUUCAACUAUCUAGGUACUGAUAUUUUCCGAAUUUAUUUAGUUAUUAUUUAAAAACAGACAAUUUUUUAUUUUAUAGUAACAUGUUGAUGACAUAUUAUUUGUUCGUUAGGCCAAAAUAUUAUAAAUAUUAGAUUACAUGUACCUACCUAAACAAAACAAAAAUGGCAAACUUUACAAGAUCUUCGUAUCGCCUCUUAAUCUGUUGGAUUAGAAUAGGGCUUUUCAUCGAUUGUCAUUUGUUUCGAGCUUCUGUCAUAUGUUGUAUAAUCUGUGUAUAAUAUUAAUAUACACGGAUUAUACAACAUAUGACAGACGCUCGAAAUAAAUGACUGUGAAUGAAAAGCCCUAUAUUACCAUUUCAUCUUUUUUGAUCACUGACCAGUACUUCUUGUUCAGAUUGGUCUAUUUGGACUGUUUUUAACAUUUUUUUUGCUUUUAUAUAUUAUUUGUCCACUCCAAGUCCCGUUCAUUCUCUUCUCCGCUAUCAGAACUUCUUAACAUAGGUACUAUCUUUAUUUCCUCGUUUCAGAAUUGUUACCCUUGUUAAUAUGGUUCUGAAACGUUUGUCUUAGAGCAUUUGUAUGUUUCAUCAUAUUUAAUUAGAAUAAACCACAAUUUUUAUUGAAAAAACGUUAUAUUUGACGUUCCAAAUUCAAAGAUAGCAAGUCCCUGUGUGAUAGCAGUCAUAAUCUAGAGAAGAUAAAAUUAUUAAAUAUCACUAUAUCACGAGUUUCAGUCCACCAUAAUCCAGGCUGACUAUCAUUUAUCAAAUAAUAAUUUCACUGUACUUGUAUUUUGUUUAUGCCUAGUUACACCAACAGAACUUAAAGCACGACUUAAGCUUAAGAUCUGUUCGUGCAACCAGACAUUAGUGUUUCAUUAAGGGAAAUAUUGGUAAUUUUCAUUGGUUUUGUGGGUAUUUCUCACUCGUACAAGCUAUCCUGCCAGUGAAAUAAUAUAUUUUCCUGAUAUAGUUAAUCAAAAAUACAUAAUUUUGCUGAUAAGUUUUCAAAUAUUUUGUAGAUUGUAUUCAGUAGAGCUAUUCCUCUACACUUGUAGCACAUACUUUUGUCACUUUUUUGGUGAAGUGGACUUAACCACGUCAAGUUUCUACUCGUUUAAUAAUUUAGUUCUUUAUAUGUCUUCUCAAGUUGUCAGGCAAUUCUAGCUCUCCAUCCUUUCAAUACUCUGCCCUAAUGCCAUUUUAUCCUAUUAUUUCGUUGUCUUUAGCUUUUGUAUGUAGUUCAGUUGAAGGUAGUAAUAUAUAUUCUUUGGACUUUGCACAUUAUUCCUUUUAAUCUGUUGAUAAAAUUUCGAUUGUCCUUAUUAAUCGUCUUCCAUGAUCUCUAGUUUUCUUUUCCAGUGUUUUUUCUUUUUCCUCCAGAUCUGUUUCACUUUUUAAAAAUCUGUUUUAAUUGUCGAAACAGACAGACAUACCUAAUUAGAAAAAUAAAAAAAUACAAAUUAAUAGAAUGAAGUAAAAAUGAAACGAAAUCAACACUGAAGGCUAAAUUAGUGAGAAGAUGUUUUAAGUGCGAUUCUACACACUUUUAAAAUAGCUUGAUUAUUUUAGUUGGAAACAGAUAAUGUUAUAUCUUAAUGUACCUACAAUACAUACAUGUAUUUUUGAUGGCUUAUUUUCUCGUAGAUCAUUACCUACCAGUACUUACUAGAUAUUCCAUAGAACAGUUUACAAAUAAAUCGUAAGACAAUAAAGAGUUUGUCGUUUGUUACAAAUUUUUAAGGUUAAUUAAAAUUUUAUAAUUUAUGUAAUUAGUUACCAAUAACCUUUUUAUAAAAUAUUUUGGUAUAUUUACAAUAAAACUUUUUUAUGUAUUUAAAUUUGUAUACAUAUUAAUUAACACAGUCAUGUUUGUUUAAUGUUAAUUAUAAGUUAGAUGGUUGAAUGUAUCAUAUCAGAAUUUCAUAUUUGUCUCCCAUAUCAUACACAUACAUUUUGUAUUAACCGUGAUUAUUGUAUUAUUCAAUACAUAACAAAUAAAAA
RNAcentral lists this unclassified non-coding RNA (28085 nucleotides) under Diabrotica virgifera virgifera (western corn rootworm). Its description in RNAcentral is "dystroglycan 1". The record is from RNAcentral. Lineage: Eukaryota; Metazoa; Arthropoda; Insecta; Coleoptera; Chrysomelidae.